Molecule: ribosomal RNA, 253 nt
Filed under: uncultured bacterium
Lineage: Bacteria
Description: partial 16S ribosomal RNA
Rfam family: Bacterial small subunit ribosomal RNA
Source: RNAcentral
UACGUAGGGGCCUAGCGUUGUCCGGAUUUAUUGGGCGUAAAGAGCGCGUAGGCGGCCCGACAAGUCCGCUGUGAAAGUCAAGGGCUCAACCCUCGAAUGCCGGUGGAUACUACGGAGCUUGAGUCCUGAAGAGGAGAGCGGAAUUCCCGGUGUAGAGGUGAAAUUCGUAGAUAUCUGGAGGAACACCGGUGGCGAAGGCGGCAUCCUGGACCAAUACUGACGCUGAGGAGCGAAAGCCAGGGGAGCAAACGGG